This 1343-nucleotide ribosomal RNA is filed under the name uncultured rumen bacterium. RNAcentral's name for it is "bacterial SSU rRNA". It matches the Rfam family "Bacterial small subunit ribosomal RNA", at positions 57 to 1418 of the family's 1533-position model. The record is from RNAcentral.
GCAAGUUGAACGGACAAUCACCCUUCGGGGUGUGCGUUAGUGGCGGACGGGUGAGUAACGCGUGAGGAACCUGCCUUGCAGUGGGGAAUAACAGCCGGAAACGACUGCUAAUACCGCAUGAUGCAUAGAAGUCGCAUGGCUUUUGUGCCAAAGAUUUAUCGCUGUGAGAUGGCCUCGCGUCUGAUUAGCUUGUUGGCGGGGUAACGGCCCACCAAGGCGACGAUCAGUAGCCGGACUGAGAGGUUGGCCGGCCACAUUGGGACUGAGACACGGCCCAGACUCCUACGGGAGGCAGCAGUGGGGAAUAUUGGGCAAUGGGCGCAAGCCUGACCCAGCAAUGCCGCGUGAAGGAAGACGGUUUUCGGAUUGUAAACUUCUUUUAACAGGGACGAUAAUGACGGUACCUGUUGAAUAAGCUCCGGCUAACUACGUGCCAGCAGCCGCGGUAAUACGUAGGGAGCAAGCGUUAUCCGGAUUUACUGGGUGUAAAGGGCGUGUAGGCGGGACAACAAGUCAGAUGUGAAAGCACGAGGCUCAACCUCGUGUCUGCAUUUGAAACUGUAGUUCUUGAGUGCUGGAGAGGCUAACGGAACUCCUAGUGUAGCGGUGAAAUGCGUAGAUAUUAGGAAGAACACCAGUGGCGAAGGCGGUUAGCUGGACAGUAACUGACGCUGAGGCGCGAAAGCGUGGGUAGCAAACAGGAUUAGAUACCCUGGUAGUCCACCAGUAAACGAUGGAUACUAGGUGUGCGGGGGACUUGACCCCCCUUGCGUUGCCGCAGCAAAACGCAAUAAGUAUCCCCCCCUGGGGAGGACGAUCGCAAGGUUGAAACUCAAAGGAAUUGACGGGGGCCCGCACAAGCGGUGGAGCAUGUGGUUUAAUUCGAAGCAACGCGAAGAACCUUACCAGGUCUUGACAUCCCGGUGACCGGCAUAGAGAUAUGCCUUCCCUUCGGGGCACCGGUGACAGGUGGUGCAUGGUUGUCGUCAGCUCGUGUCGUGAGAUGUUGGGUUAAGUCCCGCAACGAGCGCAACCCCUAUUGUUAGUUGCUACGCAAGAGCACUCUAGCGAGACUGCCGUUGACAAAACGGAGGAAGGUGGGGACGACGUCAAAUCAUCAUGCCCCUUAUGACCUGGGCCACACACGUGCUACAAUGGCGUAUAACAAAGGGAGGCAAAGCCGCGAGGCAGAGCGAACCCCCAAAAUACGUCUCAGUUCGGAUUGCAGGCUGCAACUCGCCUGUAUGAAGUUGGAAUCGCUAGUAAUCGCGAAUCAGCAUGUCGCGGUGAAUACGUUCCCGGGCCUUGUACACACCGCCCGUCACACCAUGAGAGUCGGGAAC